This 301-nucleotide ribosomal RNA is filed under the name uncultured bacterium. RNAcentral's name for it is "partial 16S ribosomal RNA". It matches the Rfam family "Bacterial small subunit ribosomal RNA", at positions 509 to 809 of the family's 1533-position model. The record is from RNAcentral.
CAGCAGCCACGGUAAUACGAAGGGUGCAAGCGUUACUCGGAAUUACUGGGCGUAAAGCGUGCGUAGGUGGUGGUUUAAGUCCGUUGUGAAAGCCCUGGGCUCAACCUGGGAAUUGCAGUGGAUACUGGGUCACUAGAGUGUGGUAGAGGAUAGUGGAAUUUCCGGUGUAGCAGUGAAAUGCGUAGAGAUCGGAAGGAACAUCUGUGGCGAAGGUGACUAUCUGGGCCAACACUGACACUGAGGCACGAAAGCGUGGGGAGCAAACAGGAUUAGAUACCCGGGUAGUCCCUGUCUCUUAUAA